This 457-nucleotide ribosomal RNA is filed under the name uncultured bacterium. RNAcentral's name for it is "bacterial SSU rRNA". It matches the Rfam family "Bacterial small subunit ribosomal RNA", at positions 11 to 455 of the family's 1533-position model. The record is from RNAcentral.
GUUUGAUCCUGGCUCAGAGCGAACGUUAGCGGCAGGCUUAAACACAUGCAAGUCGAGCGAGAAAGGGGCUUCGGCUCCGAGUAAAGCGGCGGACGGGUGCGUAACACGUGGAUAAUCUGCCUCGUGGCGGGGGACAACAGUUCCGAAAGGACUGCUAAUACCGCAUGUCAGGUCGGAAACUCCGGUUUCUGACGAAAAAGAGGGCUACCCGCAAGGGGCUCUCACCACGAGAUGAGUCCGCGUCCCAUCAGCUAGUUGGCGGUGUAAUAGACCACCAAGGCUUAGACGGGUAGCUGGUCUGAGAGGAUGACCAGCCACACUGGGACUGAGACACGGCCCAGACUCCUACGGGAGGCAGCAGCUGGGGAAUAUUGGACAAUGGGCAACCCUGAUCCAGCCAUGCCGCGUGAGUGAAGAAGGCCUGGUUGUAAGAUCUUCGUCCGGGACCGGAAAGUAC